AUGUUGGAUGAUGUUGUGGAGAGGGCCACUGAGAGGGAGUUUGCAUUGCCAAAGUCGAAGGUGGCCAUCGCCUUGACCUGCCCUGACCUCCUGACCUUUCACAACGCUCAAACAGGAAACACAUGUUGGAGGAGGAAGCUCAAGUCUCUCAACACGCGGAUGGAUGAUGUUGUGGAGAGGGCCAUCGAGAGGGGGUUUGCAUUGCCAAAGUCGAAGGUGGCCAUCGCCUUGACCUGCCUGGACCUCCUGACCUUUCACAACACUCAAACAGGAAACACAUGUUGGAGGAGGAGACCACAAGCUAAUUGA
This 309-nucleotide ribosomal RNA is filed under the name Triticum aestivum (bread wheat). Its description in RNAcentral is "partial small subunit ribosomal RNA". The record is from RNAcentral. Lineage: Eukaryota; Viridiplantae; Streptophyta; Magnoliopsida; Poales; Poaceae.